UAGCAAUACAUUAGACCGGCGCACGGGUGAGUAACGCGUAUGCAACCUGCCGUUAACCGGGGGAUAGCCCGUCGAAAGGCGGAUUAAUACCCCAUAAUAUUGGGAUUCUGCAUGGGAUUUCAAUUAAAGCUGAGGUGGUUAACGAUGGGCAUGCGUGACAUUAGCUAGUUGGUAGGGUAACGGCCUACCAAGGCUACGAUGUCUAGGGGUUCUGAGAGGAAGGUCCCCCACACUGGUACUGAGACACGGACCAGACUCCUACGGGAGGCAGCAGUGAGGAAUAUUGGUCAAUGGGCGAGAGCCUGAACCAGCCAUCCCGCGUGCAGGAAGACGGCCCUAUGGGUUGUAAACUGCUUUUGCGCAUGAAGAAUGUUACCGACGUGUCGGUAAGUGACGGUAAUGCGUGAAUAAGCAUCGGCUAACUCCGUGCCAGCAGCCGCGGUAAUACGGAGGAUGCAAGCGUUAUCCGGAUUUAUUGGGUUUAAAGGGUGCGUAGGCGGCCUUGUAAGUCAGUGGUGAAAACCUGCAGCUCAACUGUAGGCGUGCCAAUGAAACUGUGAGGCUUGAGUGACGUUGAGGCAGGCGGAAUGUGUAGUGUAGCGGUGAAAUGCUUAGAUAUUACACAGAACAUCCGAUUGCGUAGGCAGCUUGCUAAAGGUUAACUGACGCUGAUGCACGAAAGCGUGGGGAUCGAACAGGAUUAGAUACCUCUGGUAGUCCACGCUGUAAACGAUGAUGACUCGCUGUUGGCGAUAUACAGUCAGCGGCUU
Molecule: ribosomal RNA, 770 nt
Filed under: uncultured Bacteroidota bacterium
Lineage: Bacteria; Pseudomonadati; Bacteroidota
Description: bacterial SSU rRNA
Rfam family: Bacterial small subunit ribosomal RNA
Source: RNAcentral